Molecule: unclassified non-coding RNA, 878 nt
Filed under: Hevea brasiliensis (rubber tree)
Lineage: Eukaryota; Viridiplantae; Streptophyta; Magnoliopsida; Malpighiales; Euphorbiaceae
Source: RNAcentral
GUGGAUUAUACCAAGCAAAUUCCUUCUUUUUAAUUUGAAUACAAAUAAAAAUGUUAGUCAAAAUAAAAACCAAAACUUUUUUCUACCAUCAAAUAAAAAAAUAAAAAUAAAGAAUCGAAGUCAAGAAGCAAAAGAACCCCCAAGUCAAAGAGAGCGUGGAUCAGAUAUAGAAAACAAAGGAAAUCUGAGCCCUGUUUUUUCAAAACAUCAAACCGAUCUUGAAAAAGAUUACGUGGAAUCAGACACAAAAAAGGGUAAAAAUAAAAAACAAUACAAAAGCAACACGGAAGCAGAACUAGAUUUGUUCUUGAAACGUUAUUUGCUUUUUCAAUUGAGAUGGAACGGUGCUUUGAAUCAAAGAAUGUUCGAAAAUAUCAAGGUAUAUUGUCUCCUGCUUCGACUGAUAAAUCCAACCAAAAUUACUAUAUCGUCAAUUCAAAGGAGAGAAAUGAGUUUGGAUAUAAUGCUGAUUCAGGCAAAUUUACCUCUUACAGACUUGAUGAAGAAGGGGGUAUUGAUUAUCGAACCUAUUCGGUUGUCUGUAAAAGAUAAUGGACAAUUUAUUAUGUAUCAAACCAUAGGUAUUUCAUUGAUUCAUAAAAGUAAACACCAAACUAAUCAAAGAUACCGAGAACAAAGAUAUGUUGAUAAAAAGAAUUUUGACGAAUUCAUUCUGCAACCUCAAACUCAAAGAAUAAAUACAGAAAAAACUCAUUUUGGUUUGCUUGUUCCUGAAAAUAUUUUAUGGUCUAGACGUCGUAGAGAGUUGAGAAUUCGAAGUUUUUUUAAUUCUUGGAAUUGGAAUGUCGUCGAUAGAAAUUCAGUAUUUUGCAACGAAACCAAUGUAAAAAACUGGAGUCAAUUUUUGGGUGAACGGA